Non-coding RNA from Phrynosoma platyrhinos (Desert horned lizard), 77 nucleotides. Lineage: Eukaryota; Metazoa; Chordata; Lepidosauria; Squamata; Phrynosomatidae. The record is from the annotation of a GenBank genome assembly.
GCCAGGGAGGUGUAGUGGUUUGCAUGUUGGACUACAACUCUGAAGACCAGAGUUCAAUUUCCCUCUCAGCCAUGGAA